GAUGAAUGCUGGCGGCGUGCCUAACACAUGCAAGUCGAGCGAGAGCCAGCUGAGGGGUAACCCUCGGCUGGGGACAGCGGCGAACGGGUGCGUAACACGUGGGCAACCUGCCCCUGACACUGGGAUAACCCCGGGAAACCGGAGCUAAUACCGGAUACUCUCGGCCGAUCACAUGGCUGGCCGAGGAAAGGUCCGCCGGUCAGGGAUGGGCCCGCGGCCUAUCAGCUUGUUGGUGGGGUAACGGCCUACCAAGGCGACGACGGGUAGCCGGCCUGAGAGGGCGAACGGCCACACUGGAACUGAGACACGGUCCAGACUCCUACGGGAGGCAGCAGUGGGGAAUUUUGCGCAAUGGGCGAAAGCCUGACGCAGCAACGCCGCGUGGAGGAUGAAGGUCUUCGGAUCGUAAACUCCUGUCGAUGGGGACGAAAGCCCGCAAGGGUUUGACUGUACCCGUUGAGGAAGCCACGGCUAACUCCGUGCCAGCAGCCGCGGUAAUACGGAGGUGGCAAGCGUUGUUCGGAAUUACUGGGCGUAAAGGGCGCGUAGGCGGUUUGGCAAGUCAGAUGUGAAAGCCCCGAGCUUAACUCGGGAAUUGCAUCUGAAACUGCUUAACUUGAGUCCUGGAUGGGGUAGUGGAAUUCCCAGUG
This 650-nucleotide ribosomal RNA is filed under the name uncultured Acidobacteriota bacterium. RNAcentral describes it as "bacterial SSU rRNA". It matches the Rfam family "Bacterial small subunit ribosomal RNA", at positions 28 to 675 of the family's 1533-position model. Lineage: Bacteria; Pseudomonadati; Acidobacteriota. The record is from RNAcentral.